CGCCUACGGGAGGCAGCAGUGGGGGAUAUUGCACAAUGGGGGGAACCCUGAUGCAGCGACGCCGCGUGGGUGAGGAAGCGUUUCGGCGCGUAAAGCCCUGUCAGCAGGGAAGAAGAUGACGGUACCUGACCAAGAAGCCCCGGCUAACUACGUGCCAGCAGCCGCGGUAAUACGUAGGGGGCAAGCGUUAUCCGGAUUUACUGGGUGUAAAGGGGGCGCAGACGGCGAUGCAAGCCAGGAGUGAAAGCCCGGGGCCCAACCCCGGGACUGCUCUUGGAACUGCGCGGCUGGAGUGCAGGAGGGGG
This 305-nucleotide ribosomal RNA is filed under the name uncultured bacterium. RNAcentral describes it as "bacterial SSU rRNA". It matches the Rfam family "Bacterial small subunit ribosomal RNA", at positions 336 to 658 of the family's 1533-position model. The record is from RNAcentral.